Molecule: small nucleolar RNA, 84 nt
Organism: Vitis vinifera (wine grape)
Lineage: Eukaryota; Viridiplantae; Streptophyta; Magnoliopsida; Vitales; Vitaceae
Rfam family: Small nucleolar RNA U83
Source: Rfam
UGCUGAUGAUGAAACAAAGGAUACUUUGUAAUGUAUGAGAAAUCAUGAUUACAACUAUACCUCUACUGCCUUCCUUCUGAAGCU